GCUACUGUAGCUUUAGUUGGUAGAGCGAUUGAUUCGUAAUCAAUAGGUCGGCGGUUCGAGUCCGCCCUGUAGCUCCA
This 77-nucleotide transfer RNA is filed under the name Tenericutes bacterium HGW-Tenericutes-4. RNAcentral's name for it is "tRNA-Thr". It matches the Rfam family "tRNA". Rfam says of the family: Transfer RNA (tRNA) molecules are approximately 80 nucleotides in length. Their secondary structure includes four short double-helical elements and three loops (D, anti-codon, and T loops). Further hydrogen bonds mediate the characteristic L-shaped molecular structure. tRNAs have two regions of fundamental functional importance: the anti-codon, which is responsible for specific mRNA codon recognition, and the 3' end, to which the tRNAs corresponding amino acid is attached (by aminoacyl-tRNA synthetases). tRNAs cope with the degeneracy of the genetic code in two manners: having more than one tRNA (with a specific anti-codon) for a particular amino acid; and 'wobble' base-pairing, i.e. permitting non-standard base-pairing at the 3rd anti-codon position. Lineage: Bacteria; Bacillati; Mycoplasmatota. The record is from RNAcentral.